This 287-nucleotide ribosomal RNA is filed under the name uncultured bacterium. RNAcentral's name for it is "partial 16S ribosomal RNA". It matches the Rfam family "Bacterial small subunit ribosomal RNA", at positions 773 to 1060 of the family's 1533-position model. The record is from RNAcentral.
GUGGAUUAGAUACCCUGGUAGUCCACGCCGUAAACGUUGGGCACUAGGUGUGGGUCGUUAUCAACGCGAUCUGUGCCGUAGCUAACGCAUUAAGUGCCCCGCCUGGGGAGUACGGCCGCAAGGCUAAAACUCAAAGGAAUUGACGGGGGCCCGCACAAGCGGCGGAGCAUGUUGCUUAAUUCGAGGCAACGCGAAGAACCUUACCUGGGUUUGACAUGUAGAGAAAAGCCAUAGAGAUAUGGUGUCCUUCGGGGUUCUACACAGGUGGUGCAUGGCCGUCGACAACU